GGCGUAGCUCAGCCUGGUAGAGCGUCUGCUUUGGGAGCAGAAUGUCGCAGGUUCGAAUCCUGUCGCC
RNAcentral lists this transfer RNA (67 nucleotides) under human gut metagenome. It matches the Rfam family "tRNA". From Rfam's summary of the family: Transfer RNA (tRNA) molecules are approximately 80 nucleotides in length. Their secondary structure includes four short double-helical elements and three loops (D, anti-codon, and T loops). Further hydrogen bonds mediate the characteristic L-shaped molecular structure. tRNAs have two regions of fundamental functional importance: the anti-codon, which is responsible for specific mRNA codon recognition, and the 3' end, to which the tRNAs corresponding amino acid is attached (by aminoacyl-tRNA synthetases). tRNAs cope with the degeneracy of the genetic code in two manners: having more than one tRNA (with a specific anti-codon) for a particular amino acid; and 'wobble' base-pairing, i.e. permitting non-standard base-pairing at the 3rd anti-codon position. The record is from RNAcentral.